GCGAAAGUGCGUUCUCCGCAGUACAGUUUGCCAAUUGAAGACAGAGACGAAAAACUUCACAUCGUGUUUUGAAACUGUCAGAACAAAUAGGUUCUGGCGGAGUUCAGCCGUAUAUCUGGCAAAAACCUGCAAAGGGAAUUCUUUUAAGAACUUGACUAUUUCCUUCAAUAUCUUCCUUGAUAUCUUCAAGGCCAAAGGGGGAUACGGCUGUAAACUCAAGAAGAUUCCACAACAGGUUGACAAUAAUAAGUCUGACACCAAUGAAAGGCGAACUGCUGUUUCUUCAUGGCCUCCCACUCCUCCUCGGAGAGGAUCCCAUUGAUUUUUACAAUACGACAGAGAUGAUGAAGAAGGGUUGUCCAGCAUUUCAAUCGGCAUUUUGUGUCAGUGAUCCUUGAGGACUGUGAAUCCAUACUGUACUCACUAAACCUUAUUUUGGAAGGUAAACAUUGUAAUGGAUAACCUGGGAAAUCUUCCCAAAGCCAUGUGCAUCCUCUUUGGGCUCAUUUAUGCCCUGAAUUUAGAGUAUCCCCCAGUACUGAAGAACACUUUAGAUUUCAUCCAAAGGGUGCUUUUGUCACUUGGCCACAAGUCUCAAAACUCUUCUACUGCAGUUAUGUAACUGCCAUGACAGAGCAUUUUCAUUGUUCAUGAUUAACCACUUUAAGUUACAAAAAUGGUAGAGCACAACUGAAAAUGUAUUUUAUUUCCUGUUGGAAAACGUACUUAAAAGGACAGUUCACCCACAUAUUUAAAUUCUUAUAUAAUUUUCUCACCCUCAGACUAGGGGUGUGCGAUAUGCCGAUAUUAGAUCGCGAACGAUUAAAAUGACUGCACGAUCCACUUUUUCGGGAAAAUCAUUAAAUCGUCCUAUAUAGUAGUGUUCUAUAAAAUUCGUCAACAUACUUGCGAUAGAUUGCGCCAUGUUAACAAGCUUGUAUAUGUUGCUUGUGAAUUCAGUAAGAUUAAGUGACGCGGUCAGUGAAGAUGGAGGGAAACACGGAGGACUUGGUCCCUAAAAAAAAUUCUACAUCAGUAAUAUUGAAAUGGUUUGGGUUUUCCCCAACUGACACGGCCCAAACAACAGUUAUUUGCAAAUGUGGCAAUGAUAAGAUUCGAGCGUCGUAAGGCAACACAACGAACCUUUUUAACCACCUCAAAAUAAAGGGACUGAAAGAGUAUGCCGACAAUCAAAUUAUAAAGGGAUCCCAAGCGAGUAAAUCAGGUACAACCAAGCAUACGGAAACUAAAAGGCUUAAACAACGACUUUAGCGAAAGAACCAUUUGAGAAAAAAAAACACGUAUCAGUAUGACAGAAUGAACAAGCGCUGGAAAGAUGUCACUGACGCGGUCGCAUUUUACCUGGCCAAAGACAUGAUUCCCAUAAAGACUGUGGAAAAUGAGGGCUUUAAAAAACUGCUCAAAGUCGUGGAUCCACGUUACGAAAUUUUUUUUCUAGAUCGCCCACCCCUACCUCAGACUGUUCCAAACCUAGGUAAAUUAAUUUGUUCUGCUAAACACAAAAUAAUAUAUUUGGAAGAUUGUCAGAAACUGAGCAGAUCUCAUCCCGACUCCUAUAGUGUUUAUUAUUUCCCUACUAUGACAGUAAAUGGGGGAUGCGAUUUGUUUUGUAAUUGACAUUCUUCCAAAUACCUUUCUCUGUGUUCAUCAGAACAAAGAAAUUAAUACAGGUUUGGAACAAUCUGAGGGUGAGUAAAUGAUGACAGAAUUUGCAUUGGUAAGUGAGCUUUCACUUUAAUGUUAAUGUUAAACAUGCUUAAUGUUUAGUGGUUGGUUUUAGUAACAUUUUAGAUGUUUUUUGAUGUUUGAUAAAGAGAACAAAAAAUGUGUUCUUUACUAAAAUACUUAGUCUUCAAUGUGCCUCAGUACUUCAUUUUACCUCUGUGAAAAGGGGACAGCGAUAUUUUUCUUUCUAAAGUGUACUGGAAAAUGUACUUUGUUUCUUGUUUCGAACUUGACAGUUUGAUUAAUGUGAAGUGUUUUUUUUAAAUAAGACAAGAUAUAUUUUUGUUAGACAAGACAAGAAAAUAAACUGUACUUAAUUAGUUUACAGAGUAGUCUACUUUGUUUCCAAAUUUGCAUUAUACCUCUUUAUAAAAAAGUUACAUUUGUGAAAAGGGUAGACUGUUCUAUUUUGCAAUGGAGUACAGUAUGUGCAUUUUUGGUAAAAUCAUGUCAAGUC
Triplophysa dalaica is the source of this 2203-nucleotide long non-coding RNA. RefSeq lists it as uncharacterized. NCBI's taxonomy places the organism in Eukaryota, Metazoa, Chordata, Actinopteri, Cypriniformes, Nemacheilidae. The record is from RefSeq and is a predicted model, not a curated record. The transcript has 4 exons.